AGAAUGCUGCGGUGAAUGCGUUCCCGGGUCUUGUACACACCGCCCGUCACACCACGGGAGUUGGAGACGCCCGAAGCCGAUUAUCUAACCUUUUGGAAGAAGUCGUCGAAGGUGGAAUCAAUAACGGGGGUGAAGUCGUAACAAGGUAGCCGUAUCGGAAGGUGCGGCUGGAUCACCUCCUUUCUAAGGAGA
This 192-nucleotide ribosomal RNA is filed under the name Clostridioides difficile. RNAcentral describes it as "partial 16S ribosomal RNA". It matches the Rfam family "Bacterial small subunit ribosomal RNA", at positions 1351 to 1533 of the family's 1533-position model. The record is from RNAcentral. Lineage: Bacteria; Bacillati; Bacillota; Clostridia; Peptostreptococcales; Peptostreptococcaceae.